Molecule: non-coding RNA, 84 nt
Filed under: Deltaproteobacteria bacterium
Lineage: Bacteria; Pseudomonadati; Myxococcota; Myxococcia
Description: c-di-GMP sequence
Rfam family: c-di-GMP-I-GGC riboswitch aptamer
Source: RNAcentral
UCCGAUAAGGGCAAACCCCGGGUGACCGGGGGACGCAAAGCCGACGGGUCAGGCAGACAUCGCCUGAUGGCUGGGUUGCCGAAG